This 454-nucleotide ribosomal RNA is filed under the name Linisa tamaulipasensis. RNAcentral's name for it is "partial 16S ribosomal RNA". It matches the Rfam family "Archaeal large subunit ribosomal RNA", at positions 1890 to 2689 of the family's 2987-position model. Lineage: Eukaryota; Metazoa; Mollusca; Gastropoda; Stylommatophora; Polygyridae. The record is from RNAcentral.
GCCUGUUUAUCAAAAACAUUACUAUAUGUAUUAUAUAUAGCUAAUUCUGCUCCAUGAUUAUAUUAAAUAGCCGCAGUACUUUGACUGUGCUAAGGUAGCAUAAUCAAUUGGCUUAUAAAUGAAGUCUGGAAUGAAAGAAGAAACGGAGAAUAACUGUCUUAUUGAUAUUUUUGGAACUUCAUUAAAAAGUGCAAAUACUUUUAGUUUAAAUAUUAGACGAGAAGACCCUAGAACUUUAUAAUUUAUUUUGUUGGGGCGACACUGAAGCAAUACUUAACCUUCAGAAAAUAUACGAAGUUUAUUUACGGUAAAAGAAAAGUACUCUAGGGAUAACAGCAUAAUUUCUUAGAAGUUUGUGACCUCGAUGUUGGACUAGGGAAUGGUUAGCCUAGAAGGCUAAUCAGAUAGGCUCUGUUCGAGCUAUAUUACCUACCUGAUCUGGAUUCAGACCGGA